RNAcentral lists this long non-coding RNA (220 nucleotides) under Lathyrus oleraceus (garden pea). RNAcentral describes it as "Pisum sativum (pea) long non-coding RNA (PSAT_LNC029559)". Lineage: Eukaryota; Viridiplantae; Streptophyta; Magnoliopsida; Fabales; Fabaceae. The record is from RNAcentral.
AGAAGUUAUUCCUCAAAGCAGAGUUGUCAUACCUGAGGUUUGGUUAAGUCUUCCCCCAGUGAAGUGCUAUAUCAUUCUCCAAUAAGGUGAUCUUGUUACUCCAGAGAGUACUUUUCCCGAAGAGUUGCUUGGUGUUAUCUUCCCCAGCGGAGUAUUGAUUGCUUCCCAAGCGGAGUCCCCGAGUGGAUUGGAUCCUGUGAAGGAUAUCCCCAGCGAAGUC